Molecule: long non-coding RNA, 3009 nt
Organism: Pangasianodon hypophthalmus (striped catfish)
Lineage: Eukaryota; Metazoa; Chordata; Actinopteri; Siluriformes; Pangasiidae
Exons: 3
Source: RefSeq, a predicted model, not a curated record
CUCCUCCUCCUACCUCUUCUGCUGCGGGAUUUGCGCUUGUGUCCGUUUUCUGUAACGGAUCCGGGCCCAGGCGCGUGCGCUUUCACAUCCAUGUCACCGCAGCGUUCAGCGACCUGCAUUUCCACAAACCGGGCUGCACUGGUUAAGCUUAUGGGGCUGUCACUGUCACGUGAUGACCAAACGACUCAGAACCGAAGACUCGAAGCAGGUGAACUGAUUCCAGUACAGAACCUAUAGGAUGCUGCGCAGCUGAGUGAAUCACUCCCCGAGAUGACUCGCUCUUCCCGAGUCACAUUAAAGAUUCGUUCAAAAUGAACGAAUCGUUCAAGAACGACCCAUCACUAUUAGCGUAAUGUUAGCUCACUUACUAUUAAACACGGCUAAUUUUAUUAUUUACACACAGCUUACUUUUAAACAAUUUUAUUAUUUACACACAGCAGUUAGUGUAAUGUUAGCUCGCUUACUAUUAAACACGGAUAAUUUUAUUAUUUACACAGCAGUUAGUGUAAUGUUAGCUCGCUUACUAUUAAACACGGCUAAUUUUAUUGUUUACACACAGCAGUUAGUGUAAUGUUAGCUCGCUUACUAUUAAACACGGCUAAUUUUAUUGUUUACACACAGCAGUUAAUGUAAUGUUAGCUCACUUACUAUUAAACACGGCUAAUUUUAUUGUUUACACACAGCAGUUAAUGUAAUGUUAGCUCACUUACUAUUAAACACGGCUAAUUUUAUUGUUUACACACAGCAGUUAAUGUAAUGUUAGCUCGCUUACUAUUAAACACGGCUAAUUUUAUUAUUUACACACAGCAGUUAGUGUAAUGUUAGCUCACUUACUAUUAAACACGGCUAAUUUUAUUAUUUACACACAGCAGUUAGUGUAAUGUUAGCUCACUUACUAUUAAACACGGCUAAUUUUAUUAUUUUAACACAGCAGUUAGUGUAAUGUUAGCUCGCUUACUAUUAAACACGGCUAAUUUUAUUAUUUACACAGCAGUUAGUGUAAUGUUAGCUCGCUUACUAUUAAAACACGGCUAAUUUUAUUAUUUACACACAGCAGUUAGUGUAAUGUUAGCUCACUUACUAUUAAACACGGCUAAUUUUAUUAUUUUAACACAGCAGUUAGUGUAAUGUUAGCUCGCUUACUAUUAAACACGGCUAAUUUUAUUAUUUACACAGCAGUUAGUGUAAUGUUAGCUUGCCGCAUAUACUACAUUACUUACGGUACUGCCGUUUAAAAAAUACAGCGGCAUUGCCGGUAUUUUGAAGCUUUAGUAUCGCGAUACUACUGUAGUAUCGGUAUGGUGUAACAAUUUAUAUCAACGAAACGAUUUUUUACACCUAUUUAUAAUGAUUAUGUAAAACAUGAAACAUAUAAUAGUUCAGAUUCACUGCUUUGUGACUUUUUUUGAUUAAUUUGCGAUUAUAUGCACAGAUUGUGAAAGUAACCGGAUACGUCUGCAUAUAAACUGGAUAUGAACUAGAGAUAAACGUGUUGUUUGACAAAUACAGACACAAACUGCAGGAAAGCUGAUAACAAUGUCAUCACAUUCAGCUCUAAGAUUUGUUAAGCCCCACAGACACACAAACAUAAUUUAUUACGGAGAUUUGCAUGAGGAAACUGCAGCUACAAGAAGUUUGAUGAGGAGCAAGAGGAACAGCAGAGGCACAUCGAGCUGAAAGGAUGGGGGGUUCCUGAUGAUGCCUGGCUGGAACAUCUAUAUUCCCUCUGCCAGAGCUUGAGAAAAAAGGCUACUGCAUACGAACAAAUGCAAGAGGCCAUCACGAGGUGUGUCUGUACAUGAGUAACUUCUCAAGUCCUGGGACUGCAACAGUCUACACUGCGACUCUAGGAACUACAAUGCAAUGGGUAAAAUAAAUAGAUCACAACUAGUUUCAGACCAAAGAGAUGACUAACAUCAACAAUGCGUUUAGUGAAAAGAAUUAAUAGUUUGGUUUGAGUAAACAGGACGGAGACAACCAAGAAAGCCAGUGUGAGAAAACCAGCUAGUCAAAGAAAGGAAGCAGAGUUGAAUUUCCCAGCUGUAGGCAACAUAGCUACAAACAUGACACCUGUAGAUAGCAAGAGCAAGCCUUUAGGCAAUGUGGCUACCAGGAAGCUGGCUGUAGUUAGCCAGGAAACAGAACCUGAAGAUUUAUAACACUUCCUGCGUAGUAUUGAUGGUGACCAGAAAGAAUGCAGAAGUAAGAAUUUCAUUGUACAUGUUGUUACUGUGCAUUUGACACUAAAUUCCUGGAUUCUACAGCCUGCAGAGGGAGACAGAGUUCUAUGAGUUACAACCAUCAGGCUUUUAGGGGUGAACUUAAAUUUAUACAAACUGAACUUAAUACUUUCUUCCCACACGUUGGUAAUAAAUUAAUAAUAAUGAGAAGAAGAAGAAGCAAAAAAGAAAAUCAUUACUGUUGUCUCUUUUUUUCUUCAUCAUCAUCAUAGGCAGAAUCAGAAGUGCUGGUAAUUAUAUUAUAUAUUGUUAUCAAGGAAACCUACCCAUAAUUCCAUCACAAGAGGUGGCAACUUAGCUAAAAAGACAAUCCGAGCAGGCAGAGAGAAAAAAAACUGUACAAAAUAAAACUAGUUAUUCAUUUAUUUUUUAUUUUUUGUCCCAAGCAACACUAAGAAAACAGUGAGGCAAAAGUCAGGUGAAACCACUACUUAAUAAUAAGCAGCACCUCCCUUUUUUUUUUUUUAAGUAAACCAGAGACCACAGCUCCACCCUCUUUCUUUCUAUUGGUUCACAAAACUGAAGCUUUACCUACUUUACCUAAAAGUUUACCUAGAUACAUUUGUCAUGAAGUGAAAGUAACCAUUAGCAGGAACAAAUGUGUUGUUCACGUCCCCUCGUCCUUUCCCCUUCAGUGAACUGGCGUUUCUGCCAGGUGAAUUUUACUGAAAUUCUCCGUAUCUCCUUAACUAAGGGUCAAAAAAUCGUAAAUAAUACAACUAAACCAUAGAUGUUUUCACCACUGCGUCCCUAGGAGGGGGUUUUCUAU